Molecule: ribosomal RNA, 406 nt
Filed under: uncultured bacterium
Lineage: Bacteria
Description: partial 16S ribosomal RNA
Rfam family: Bacterial small subunit ribosomal RNA
Source: RNAcentral
AUUGAACGCUGGCGGCAGGCCUAACACAUGCAAGUCGAGCGAGCGGCGGACGGGUGAGUAAUGUCUGGGAAACUGCCUGAUGGAGGGGGAUAACUACUGGAAACGGUAGCUAAUACCGCAUACUAUCAGAUGUGCCCAGAUGGGAUUAGCUAGUAGGUGGGGUAAUGGCUCACCUAGGCGACGAUCCCUAGCUGGUCUGAGAGGAUGACCAGACACACUGGAACUGAGACACGGUCCAGACUCCUACGGGAGGCAGCAGUGGGGAAUAUUGCACAAUGGGCGCAAGCCUGAUGCAGCCAUGCCGCGUGUAUGAAGAAGGCCUUAGGGUUGUAAAGCACUUUCAGCGGGGAGGCGUUACCCGCAGAAGAAGCACCGGCUAACUCCGUGCCAGCAGCCGCGGUAAUUC